This 108-nucleotide ribosomal RNA is filed under the name uncultured bacterium. Its description in RNAcentral is "partial 16S ribosomal RNA". It matches the Rfam family "Bacterial small subunit ribosomal RNA", at positions 359 to 465 of the family's 1533-position model. The record is from RNAcentral.
UAAUACAAGACAAUGGGCGCAAGCCUGAUCCAGCCAUGCCGCGUGAGUGAUGAAGGCCUUAGGGUUGUAAAGCUCUUUGUCCGGGAAGAUAAUGACGUACAGAGAGAG